CAUACGGCCCUGUAACACGUGGCUAACCUACCCUUGAGACGGAGACAACCCCGGGAAACUGGGGCUAAUCCCAGAUAGAUGAGAACCCCUGGAAUGGGUCCUCGUCCAAAAGGCAUCGAGAUCAUGCUUCUUGGUGUCGCUCAAGGAUGGGGCCGCGGCCGAUCAGGCUGUUGGUGAGGUAACGGCUCACCAAACCUAUAACCGGUACGGGCCGUGGGAGCGGGAGCCCGGAGAUGGGAACUGAGACAAGGUCCCAGGCCCUACGGGGCGCAGCAGUUGCGAAAACUCCGCAAUGCACGAAAGUGUGACGGGGCUACCCCGAGUGCUGUCCGCUGAGGAUGGCUUUUCCCCGGUGUAAGGAGCCGGGGGAAUAAGGAGAGGGCAAGUCUGGUGUCAGCCGCCGCGGUAAUACCAGCUCUCCGAGUGGUAGGGAUGCUUAUUGGGCUUAAAGCGUCCGUAGCUGGCCCUUCAAGUCUCUCGUUAAAUCCAGCGAUUCAAUCGUUGGACUGCGGGAGAUACUGUUAGGCUUGGGGGCGGGAGAAGCCGACGGUAUUUCCGGUGUAGGGGUAAAAUCCUAUAAUCCCGGGAGGACCACCAGUGGCGUAGGCGGUCGGCUAGCACGCGCCCGACGGUGAGGGACGAAAGCUGGGGGAGCAAACC
RNAcentral lists this ribosomal RNA (660 nucleotides) under uncultured archaeon. RNAcentral's name for it is "bacterial SSU rRNA". It matches the Rfam family "Archaeal small subunit ribosomal RNA", at positions 82 to 725 of the family's 1478-position model. The record is from RNAcentral.